AUGGUAUAUGUAUGUAAGUUGAUUCAAUGAUUCAAGCGUCAUCUCUAGGUGAGAUUUAAGUUAAGUUCUGGAAUGAANAUAGGUAGCUCAGUCUUGGGGGUUUCCCUUAAAGCUCUAAUGACUAUUCAAUCUCACUUAGAGAAGAUUAGUACAUGUGGUGAAGAGCAGUAGGGGGUCCUAGUCUUGGUUGUCUCCAUUUUAUAUGGGCCAAGGUGAGUGAUAACGGACUAACCUUGUGUGUGGUAGGGUGAAACCCAUUGGCAAUGGC
Molecule: long non-coding RNA, 268 nt
Filed under: Vigna radiata
Lineage: Eukaryota; Viridiplantae; Streptophyta; Magnoliopsida; Fabales; Fabaceae
Description: long non-coding RNA (VRAD_LNC012374)
Source: RNAcentral